UAUGAUUGUGACGUUUGCACAUGUUAUUUGUUGGGCGAUUUGAUAUGUUAGUAGCAUAUCCACGGUGUAUCCACUCGUGUGCAACCGCAAUUCUAGAUUAGUGCGAUCAUAUGACAGAUAUAAAUAGAUCAGAACAAUAGUGUUAAUAGUUUACCCAAUCCAAUCAUGUAUAAAAAAAUAAUAUAUGAAAAACAUGUGAUAGUAAAAAAAUCGGUGGCCGGCGAUAUGAUC
Molecule: non-coding RNA, 231 nt
Organism: Cinara cedri
Lineage: Eukaryota; Metazoa; Arthropoda; Insecta; Hemiptera; Aphididae
Source: the annotation of a GenBank genome assembly